AAAUUCUCUGUCCUUUUGGAACUCCAUUUACAUGUAUUUGACCUUUAAUUAUGUAGUCUAUACUUUAAUUACUCCUUUCUCUGUAAUCUCUUUGUAUUUUUCUCCUAUUUUCUUUUCACCUAUUUCCCAGUUUAUUAUUUCUCUGAUUUUGAGUUAUUAAUUUCAUUAUUGCGUUUUUCAGUUCUACAGUUUCUAUUCGGUUCUUUUUAAAUUCUGCUGUGUCUUUUUAUAUUUUUCUGUUCUUUGUGAAAUUCUCAGAGUUGUCUUUUCAUUACCCUGAACAUUUUAAACAUAAUAAUGUUAAGCUUUACAUCUAAUGAAUUCUUAAUCUGCAGACCCUGUGGGCCUCUUUCUAUUGUUGGUUAUUUCUGUUGAUGCCCAUUCAUGUUGCCCUGCCUUGUUUGCUCAUUUAUUUAUUUAUGCUGUAUACUCACAUCCAAGGUAACUCUUAUUUCAAGAACAGAUCAACUCUUUAUUCUUUUUUUUAAAAUAUUUAUUUAUUUAUUUAUUUUUGGCUGCAUCAGGUCUUAGUUGCAGCACGCGGGAUCUUCAUUAGGAUCUUUGUUGCAGCAUGCAGGAUCCUCCGCUGUGGCAUGCGGGCUAUCUAGUUGUGGUCUGUGUGCUCAGUAGUUGCAGCGCAUGGGCUUAGUUGCCCCACGGCAUGUGGGAUCUCAGUUCCCCGACCAGGGAUCAAACCCGUGUCCCCCACACUGGAAGGUGGAUUCUUAACCACAGGACCACCAGGGAAGUUCCUCUUAUUUCUUAAGUUAUGGUCUUUUGGGUCCCAGCCCAGAAUGUGGGAGUUUUGCUAGAGUUCCCCAACAUUGGCAUUCCUGGACCCCACAUUCAUCUCCCUAACCCUGCAAGGCUGUCCAAAGUGCUGUUUAGAUGCCUGACCUCCUGUUGCGGAAUCAGUAAACAUUCCCAGGAUUGCUAGUAAUCCAAACGCCUGGAUUACUACUCUGGUUUCUGUUUCCUCCUGCACCUUGGCAUAGAAAUUCAUCACUGCCUCUUUUGCUUUCUGGUGCCUUCAAGAAGAUAUGUUUUAUAUUUUGAACAAGUUUUCAGUUGUUGGCAAGAGAUUUGUCAGCAUUACCUUGUCCACCUUUACUCCUUUCUCUACUGACUCUUCAUCCACUUUCAUAUGGCUUCUUCCUCGUUUCACUGAGACCGAGUUUAUUAAUUUUUUCACCAGCAUCCUUGAUGUUGCCAAAUCAAAUGGACACUUUUCAGUUCUCAUGCUUCUCAUCUUCUCAGCAGCAAUUUGACAUAGUUAACUAUUCCUGUUUUGUAAUACUUUGUACACCUUAAGAUUUUCCACUGUCUCAAAACAUUCCUCAGUCUGUUUUUCUAACACUUUCUCUUCUAUACAAUCUGUUUUUCCUUUGUACAUUUCUUACAAAAAAUUUUUAACAAAUGCAUAAAUGUGAUCAUAAAUGCUUUCUUUUUUAAAAUUGAAAUCUUAUUUUUUUUUCUUGAAUUUUGUUUGGUUAUCCCCACCCCACUGUCAGCCUCAUUCUCUAUCCCCGUUAGGUAGCUCAUGUCACCUGUUUCUAACCUUUCAUAUUUCUCUCCAUGCUUGUAUAAUCGUAUACAGAAAAAGAUAUAUACACACACACACAUUAUACAAGGUGUCUAUUUUUCUUUUUCUUUUUUUUUUACACAAUUGGACUAUAUUAUGCCCACUUUUCUGCAACUUGCUUUUAUUUUGGUUUACUGUAUUUUUUUUUUUUUUUUUUUUUUUUGCGGUACACGGGCCUCUCACCGCUGUGGCCUCUCCCGUUGCGGAGCACAGGCUCCGGACGCGCAGGCCCAGCGGCCAUGGAUCACGGGCCCAACCGCUCCGCGGCAUGCGGGAUCCUCCCAGACCGGGGCACGAACCCGCGUCCCCUGCAUCGGCAGGCGGACUCUCAACCACGGCGCCACCAGGGAAGCCCUACUGUGUUGUCUUCUCAUUUUGUUGAUGGUUUCCUUUGCUGUUCAGAAGCCUUUUAGUUUAAUGUAGUCUCAUGUAGUCUCACUUGUUUAUUUUUGCUUUAGUCGCCUUUGGUUUUGGUGUCAAAUCCAAAAAACCAUUGCCAAGACUGAUGUCAAUGAGCUUAACCCACCUAUGUUCACUUCUAAGAGUUUCAGAGUUUCAGCUCUUACUUUCAAGUCUUUAGUCCAUUUUGAGUUAAUUUUUGUGUCUAGUAUAAGAUAGUGGUUGAAUUUUAUUCUGUUGCAUGUGGCUGUCCAAUUUUCCUAACAUCACUUAUUGAAGAGACUGUGCUUUCCCCCAUUAUACAUUCUUGGCUCCUUUGCCAUAAGUUAAUCAGCUAUACAUGUGUGGACAAAAGCAAUCUACAGAUUCAAUGCAAUCAAAAUUCCAAUGGCAUUUGUCACAGAAAUAGAACAAACAAUCCUAAAAUUUGCAUGGCACCACCAAAGAGCCAAAGUAAUCUUGAGAAAGAUGAACAAAGCUGGAGGCAUCAUGCUCCCUGAUGCCUCCAGGCAUCAAACUAUAUUACAAAGUUAUAAUAAUCAAAACAGUAUGGUUCUGGCAUAAAAAGAGACAGAUCAAUGGGACCGAAUAGACAGCUCAGAAAUAAUAAUGUUUAACAUUAUUAAUUCUUCCAGUUCAUGAGCAUGAUAUACCUUUCCAUCUGUUUGUGUUGUCUUCGAUUUCUUUCAUCAGCAUCUUAUAAUUUUCAGAGCACAGGUCUCUUACCUCCUCAGUUAGAUUUACUCCUAGAUAUUUUAUUUUUGAUGCAAUUAUAAAUGGAUUUUCUUAAUUUCUCUGAUAGUUUGUUGUUAGUGUAUAGAAAUGCAACAGAUUUCUGUAUAUUAAUUUUGUAUCCUGCAAUGUUACUGAAUUCAUUUAUUAGUUCUAAUAGGUUUUUGGUGACAUCUUUAGCAUUUUCUUUAUAAAGCAUCAUGUCAUCUUUAAACAGUGACAGUUUUACUUCUCUCUUUGGAUUCCUUUUUUUUUUUUCCCUUGUCUGAUUGCUGUGGCUAGGACUUACAAUACUAUGUUUAAACCUGGUAAGAGUGGGCAUCCUUGUCUGAGGGUAGUGCUUGUCUUGUAAAAUGAGUUUUGCAGCUGUUCCCUUUUCUAUAUUUUGG
Molecule: long non-coding RNA, 3102 nt
Organism: Orcinus orca (killer whale)
Lineage: Eukaryota; Metazoa; Chordata; Mammalia; Artiodactyla; Delphinidae
Exons: 2
Source: RefSeq, a predicted model, not a curated record